RNAcentral lists this ribosomal RNA (493 nucleotides) under uncultured bacterium. RNAcentral describes it as "partial 16S ribosomal RNA". It matches the Rfam family "Bacterial small subunit ribosomal RNA", at positions 28 to 506 of the family's 1533-position model. The record is from RNAcentral.
GACGAACGCUGGCGGCGUGCUUAACACAUGCAAGUCGAACGGUGAAACGCCUUCCUUUUUUGCGGCUGUGGAUGAGUGGCGCACGGGUGAGUAACACGUGAGUAACCUGCCCCCUUCUUCUGGAUAACCGCAUGAAAGUGUGGCUAAUACGUUAACUUCGGGGGCUCUCGCAUGGUGGGUCUGGGAAAUCUUUUGAUUCGUUGCGGGUUGGGCUCGUCGCCUAUCAGGUUGUCGGCGGGGUGAUGGCCUACCAACGCGGUGACGGCUAGCCGGCCUGUGAGGGUGGACGGUCAGAGUGGGACUGAGCCACGGCUCAGACUCCGACGGGAGGCAGCAGGGGGGAAUAUUGCACAAUGGGCGCAAGCCUGAUGCAGCGACGACGCGUGAGGGAAGGAGGCCUUCGGGUUGUGAACCUCUUUCGCAAGUGAAGCAGGCCUGCCUGGGUUGUGGGUGGGUUGACGGUAGCUGGAGAAGAAGCGGCGGCUGGCUACGU